GCGUGCCUAACACAUGCAAGUCGAACGGAGAUAAGCGCUGAUGAUUUAGCUUGCUAGAGAUUCUUGCUUAUCUUAGUGGCGGACGGGUGAGUAACGCGUGAGCAACCUGCCUUUCAGAGGGGGAUAACGUCUUAGAAAAGGACGCUAAUACCGCAUGAUAUUAUGGAGCCACAUGGCUCUAAUAAUACAAAGGGAGAGCAAUCCGCUAGAAAGAGUGGGCUCGCGUCCGAUUAGGUAGUUGGCGGGAUAACAGGCCCACCAAGCCGACGAUCGGUAGCCGGACUGAGAGGUUGAACGGCCACAGUUGGGACUGAGACACGGCCCAGACUCCGUACGGGGAGGCAGCAGUGGAGGGAUAUUGGUCAAUGGGGGAAACCCUGAACCAGCAACGCCGCGUGAGGGAUGACGGCCUUCGGGUUGUAAACCUCUGUCCUCUGUGAAGAUAAUGACGGUAGCAGAGGAGGAAGCUCCGGCUAACUACGUGCCAGCAGCCGCGGUAA
This 500-nucleotide ribosomal RNA is filed under the name uncultured bacterium. RNAcentral describes it as "bacterial SSU rRNA". It matches the Rfam family "Bacterial small subunit ribosomal RNA", at positions 42 to 523 of the family's 1533-position model. The record is from RNAcentral.